UUUAAGUACAACCAUAAGUUUUCGCGCCUAACUAUGAUCGUUCGUAUUAUUUGAAAAAAAAAAUUAUAAUUAGUAUUUUUGUUGUUAUGAGAUAAUAAAACAUGAAUAGUACUUUACUCGUGACUUAUGUUUUUAAUUUUUUUUAAAAGAUUUUCAAAUAAGAUGGACGGUUAAAGUUGGCCGCGGAAAACCAUGACGGCACUUAAA
This is a non-coding RNA of Oryza glumipatula, 207 nucleotides long. The record is from Rfam. Lineage: Eukaryota; Viridiplantae; Streptophyta; Magnoliopsida; Poales; Poaceae.